UCAGAACGAACGCUGGCGGCAGGCUUAACACAUGCAAGUCGAACGCCCUCUUCGGAGGGAGUGGCAGACGGGUGAGUAACGCGUGGGAACCUACCUUUCGGUACGGAACAACAGUUGGAAACGACUGCUAAUACCGUAUACGUCCUUCGGGAGAAAGAUUUAUCGCCGAUAGAGGGGCCCGCGUUGGAUUAGCUUGUUGGUGAGGUAACGGCUCACCAAGGCGACGAUCCGUAGCUGGUCUGAGAGGAUGAUCAGCCACACUGGGACUUAGACACGGGCCAGACUCCUACGGGAGGCAGCAGUGGGGAAUAUUGGACAAUGGGCGCGAGCCUGAUCCAGCCAUGCCGCGUGAGUGAUGACGGCCCUAGGGUUGUAAAGCUCUUUCAGUGGUGAAGAUAAUGACGGUAACCACAGAAGAAGCCCCGGCUAAC
RNAcentral lists this ribosomal RNA (431 nucleotides) under alpha proteobacterium 'Egg clone D41'. RNAcentral describes it as "bacterial SSU rRNA". It matches the Rfam family "Bacterial small subunit ribosomal RNA", at positions 24 to 501 of the family's 1533-position model. The record is from RNAcentral. Lineage: Bacteria; Pseudomonadati; Pseudomonadota; Alphaproteobacteria.